This 877-nucleotide ribosomal RNA is filed under the name Escherichia coli. Its description in RNAcentral is "partial 23S ribosomal RNA". It matches the Rfam family "Bacterial large subunit ribosomal RNA", at positions 418 to 1294 of the family's 2925-position model. The record is from RNAcentral. Lineage: Bacteria; Pseudomonadati; Pseudomonadota; Gammaproteobacteria; Enterobacterales; Enterobacteriaceae.
CGGGACACGUGGUAUCCUGUCUGAAUAUGGGGGGACCAUCCUCCAAGGCUAAAUACUCCUGACUGACCGAUAGUGAACCAGUACCGUGAGGGAAAGGCGAAAAGAACCCCGGCGAGGGGAGUGAAAAAGAACCUGAAACCGUGUACGUACAAGCAGUGGGAGCACGCUUAGGCGUGUGACUGCGUACCUUUUGUAUAAUGGGUCAGCGACUUAUAUUCUGUAGCAAGGUUAACCGAAUAGGGGAGCCGAAGGGAAACCGAGUCUUAACUGGGCGUUAAGUUGCAGGGUAUAGACCCGAAACCCGGUGAUCUAGCCAUGGGCAGGUUGAAGGUUGGGUAACACUAACUGGAGGACCGAACCGACUAAUGUUGAAAAAUUAGCGGAUGACUUGUGGCUGGGGGUGAAAGGCCAAUCAAACCGGGAGAUAGCUGGUUCUCCCCGAAAGCUAUUUAGGUAGCGCCUCGUGAAUUCAUCUCCGGGGGUAGAGCACUGUUUCGGCAAGGGGGUCAUCCCGACUUACCAACCCGAUGCAAACUGCGAAUACCGGAGAAUGUUAUCACGGGAGACACACGGCGGGUGCUAACGUCCGUCGUGAAGAGGGAAACAACCCAGACCGCCAGCUAAGGUCCCAAAGUCAUGGUUAAGUGGGAAACGAUGUGGGAAGGCCCAGACAGCCAGGAUGUUGGCUUAGAAGCAGCCAUCAUUUAAAGAAAGCGUAAUAGCUCACUGGUCGAGUCGGCCUGCGCGGAAGAUGUAACGGGGCUAAACCAUGCACCGAAGCUGCGGCAGCGACGCUGAUGCGUUGUUGGGUAGGGGAGCGUUCUGUAAGCCUGCGAAGGUGUGCUGUGAGGCAUGCUGGAGGUAUCAGAAGUGCGAA